CUGCUCCUGUUUUCAUUCCAAGGGUGGAGGGUGAAGGAGAGCUUUAGACACCACCUGGAAACUUCUGUGAGCCGUGAGGUCACAAUGGGAGUGUCACGGACACGGCGACACCUUCCAGGUCAUGAAUCCAAACCUCCCAUUGCAGCUGGAAAGAGGGAGAAAUUCCUGCCCUCCCUUGAUCCCAAAAGUUAAGAGACAAAUUCAGGAGCAGGUGCUCCAGGCCGUAUCCAAUCCCCAAACCCCACUGGAAUGCCCUAAUCCUGGGACAAGCCCUUCUCCUGUGGCAAGGAAAAGGAUGCUCCGGGAUCCAGGCCAGCCAGGACACACCCCCAGGAGGAAAAGCGCGGCCUCCAACGACCCAAAAAGCCAAAUCCUCCCAGUGGCUGGGGCUGUAAAUCUUCACUAUCCCAGCACCCAACGGUGCUGGAAAAGAGGUUGAGCCUAGAAGUCGGCAGGAAUUCAGCACUAGCACUUCUGGGGAAAGAAAGAAAGAAACUGCAGUUUUCCAGCCAGAACCCAAAAGCAGGGAAACAUUAAAUAAACAGGAGGGAAGGGGAAGUGAAAGCCA
Molecule: long non-coding RNA, 568 nt
Organism: Pseudopipra pipra
Lineage: Eukaryota; Metazoa; Chordata; Aves; Passeriformes; Pipridae
Exons: 2
Source: RefSeq, a predicted model, not a curated record